This 518-nucleotide ribosomal RNA is filed under the name uncultured bacterium. Its description in RNAcentral is "bacterial SSU rRNA". It matches the Rfam family "Bacterial small subunit ribosomal RNA", at positions 8 to 526 of the family's 1533-position model. The record is from RNAcentral.
AGAGUUUGAUCCUGGCUCAGGAUGAACGCUAGCGGGAGGCCUAACACAUGCAAGCCGAGCGGUAGAGAUCUUUCGGGAUCUUGAGAGCGGCGUACGGGUGCGGAACACGUGUGCAACCUGCCUUUAUCUGGGGGAUAGCCUUUCGAAAGGAAGAUUAAUACCCCAUAAUAUGUUGGAUGGCAUCAUUCGACAUUGAAAACUCCGGUGGAUAGAGAUGGGCACGCGCAAGAUUAGAUAGUUGGUGAGGUAACGGCUCACCAAGUCUGCGAUCUUUAGGGGGCCUGAGAGGGUGAUCCCCCACACUGGUACUGAGACACGGACCAGACUCCUACGGGAGGCAGCAGUGAGGAAUAUUGGACAAUGGGUGAGAGCCUGAUCCAGCCAUCCCGCGUGAAGGACGACGGCCCUAUGGGUUGUAAACUUCUUUUGUAUAGGGAUAAACCUACUCUCGUGAGAGUAGCUGAAGGUACUAUACGAAUAAGCACCGGCUAACUCCGUGCCAGCCGCCGCGGUAAUAC